AUCGCAAAACGUUCUAUCGCUGCCACGAUACGUCGGGGCGGAGGAAAGUCCGGGCAACAUAGAGCAUCCUGCUUCCUAACGGGAAGGCGCCCGCAGCGGGCGACAGCAAGUGCCACAGAGAAUAUACCGCCGGUUUUACAACUGGUAAGGGUGAAAACGUGAGGUAAGAGCUCACGGCCUUCGUAGGCGACUGCGAUUGCGGUAAACCUCAGGAGUUGAAAAACCAAAUAGGUCCUGAAAGCGGAGUUGCUCGCUCCCUCCUCUUCACAGGGGUGUCAGGAUGGGUAGGUUGCUUGAACCUGCCGGCAACGGCAGGGCCAGAUCAAUGAUAGAAGUUUCGGAAACGGAAUACAGAACCCGGCUUACAGGUUUGCAGCUGAC
RNAcentral lists this RNase P RNA (381 nucleotides) under Mucilaginibacter pedocola. Its description in RNAcentral is "Bacterial RNase P class A". It matches the Rfam family "Bacterial RNase P class A". Rfam says of the family: Ribonuclease P (RNase P) is a ubiquitous endoribonuclease, found in archaea, bacteria and eukarya as well as chloroplasts and mitochondria. The record is from Rfam by way of RNAcentral. Lineage: Bacteria; Pseudomonadati; Bacteroidota; Sphingobacteriia; Sphingobacteriales; Sphingobacteriaceae.